This 447-nucleotide ribosomal RNA is filed under the name uncultured bacterium. RNAcentral describes it as "partial 16S ribosomal RNA". It matches the Rfam family "Bacterial small subunit ribosomal RNA", at positions 330 to 793 of the family's 1533-position model. The record is from RNAcentral.
UCCAGACUCCUACGGGAGGCAGCAGUGGGGGAUAUUGCACAAUGGGGGGAACCCUGAUGCAGCGACGCCGCGUGGGUGAAGGAGUAUUUCGGUAUGUAAAGCCCUAUCGGCAGGGAAGAAGCAAGACGGUACCUGACUAAGAAGCCCCGGCUAACUACGUGCCAGCAGCCGCGGUAAUACGUAGGGGGCGAGCGUUAUCCGGAUUCACUGGGUGUAAAGGGAGCGUAGACGGCAAUGCAAGCCAGAUGUGAAAGCCCGGGGCUCAACCCCGGGACUGCAUUUGGAACUGUGUAGCUGGAGUGUCGGAGAGGCAGGCGGAAUUCCUAGUGUAGCGGUGAAAUGCGUAGAUAUUAGGAGGAACACCAGUGGCGAAGGCGGCCUGCUGGACGAUGACUGACGUUGAGGCUCGAAAGCGUGGGGAGCAAACAGGAUUAGAUACCCCUGUAC